This 73-nucleotide ribosomal RNA is filed under the name Vibrio parahaemolyticus. Its description in RNAcentral is "partial 16S ribosomal RNA". The stretch from base 1 to 64 matches the Rfam family "Bacterial small subunit ribosomal RNA", at positions 1470 to 1533 of the family's 1533-position model. The record is from RNAcentral. Lineage: Bacteria; Pseudomonadati; Pseudomonadota; Gammaproteobacteria; Vibrionales; Vibrionaceae.
CAUGACAGAGAUGAAAUCGUAACAAGGUAGCGCUAGGGGAACCUGGCGCUGGAUCACCUCCUUAAACGAUGAU